Molecule: unclassified non-coding RNA, 368 nt
Filed under: Litchfieldia salsa
Lineage: Bacteria; Bacillati; Bacillota; Bacilli; Caryophanales; Bacillaceae
Description: Bacillus salsus Bacterial RNase P class B
Rfam family: Bacterial RNase P class B
About the family: Ribonuclease P (RNase P) is a ubiquitous endoribonuclease, found in archaea, bacteria and eukarya as well as chloroplasts and mitochondria. Its best characterised activity is the generation of mature 5'-ends of tRNAs by cleaving the 5'-leader elements of precursor-tRNAs.
Source: RNAcentral
AAGUCUAGAAAUUGUCUAGCUUCAGCGCCUAGCCCCUCGAGGUCAUAAGCCAAUCCGUCAAGAAGGUUAAAAAGCAACUUUCUAGCCGGCUCGUCUUAUGCUUGUCGGGGCUGAGCAAGGCGCUUCAGCUUUUCUUGAUAUGGUGCGAAUACCUUGAAAGUGCCACAGUGACGGAGCUUCAAAGGAAACUUUGAAGGUGGAACGAGGUAAACCCCACGAGCGAGAAACCCAAAUUUGGUAGGGGAAGUGUCUGGCGGGAAUUGAACCAAAAGACACCAUGAAUCUAUUCAUGAGAUAGAUGAUUCUCCAUUUUGUGCGAGGCUUCUAGCCGAAUGUAGCACAUGAUGAACAAAACACGGCUUAUGAGG